Molecule: long non-coding RNA, 668 nt
Organism: Drosophila arizonae
Lineage: Eukaryota; Metazoa; Arthropoda; Insecta; Diptera; Drosophilidae
Source: RefSeq, a predicted model, not a curated record
UGGCUGGUAGAAAGGAAACGAAAAGGCUUUAAACGCAACUGUUUGCGUUCCAGUCUACGACGAGAGCCUGAAAAAGCUCUCGCCAGGCAAUAAAAUACACUCAUAGACACACACACACACAGACACACUCCCACACACAGUUUCAUACAGCACCCGCUCGCUCACUAACACCACACCCAAAGCAGACGAGACAAUUUGAGCAUAAACCACAAAAAGAGAAUAAUCUAGAACAGCAGCUGGCAGCUGAGAGCGCUGAGCGCCAAUCGACUAAGACACAGGGAGAGAGAGUAGAAUUCGAAACUCUCUGAUCUCGUAGAUCGAGACAUACGUGCGAAAGAGAGAGAACGAGAAAAAAUCUUCAAGUCUUGUACAAAAGAACGACGCACUGAGAGUAUUUUGCAAAAAAUACUCGUGCACACACACUCUCAGGAUAUGUACGGCAACAAUAAUCCGGGUAGUAACAAUAAUAACGGUGGUUAUCCCCCAUACGGUUACAACAAGUCGAGCAGCCAAGCAACAGCAGCCUUAUCAAGCGAUCUCAACAAGAACAGCGAAAACAACGACAGAUACAAACGCUUCGAUUGUAUUUAGUGUGGUUGCUUUUCGCUCCACUUCAUUAUUAUUACGAUUAUUUUUAAUAUUACUAUUACUAUUGUUUGAAACAAAGA